Molecule: ribosomal RNA, 151 nt
Filed under: Bacillus sp. S72
Lineage: Bacteria; Bacillati; Bacillota; Bacilli; Caryophanales; Bacillaceae
Description: partial 16S ribosomal RNA
Rfam family: Bacterial small subunit ribosomal RNA
Source: RNAcentral
CCCGUCACACCACGAGAGUUUGUAACACCCGAAGUCGGUGGGGUAACCUUUAUGGAGCCAGCCGCCUAAGGUGGGACAGAUGAUUGGGGUGAAGUCGUAACAAGGUAGCCGUAUCGGAAGGUGCGGCUGGAUCACCUCCUUUCUAUGGAGA